GUGCCAGCAGCCGCGGUAAUACGUAGGGUGCGAGCGUUGUCCGGAAUUACUGGGCGUAAAGAGCUCGUAGGCGGUUUGUCACGUCGUCUGUGAAAUCCUGCAACUCAAUUGCAGGCGUGCAGGCGAUACGGGCAGACUUGAGUACUACAGGGGAGACUGGAAUUCCUGGUGUAGCGGUGAAAUGCGCAGAUAUCAGGAGGAACACCGGUGGCGAAGGCGGGUCUCUGGGUAGUAACUGACGCUGAGGAGCGAAAGCGUGGGGAGCGAACAGGAUUAGAUACCCUGGUAGUCCACGCCGUAAACGGUGGGUACUAGGUGUGGGGCCUGUUUCCACGGGUUCUGCGCCGUAGCUAACGCAUUAAGUGCCCCGCCUGGGGAGUACGGCCGCAAGGCUAAAACUCAAAGGAAUUGACGGGGGCCCGCACAAGCGGCGGAGCAUGCGGAUUAAUUCGAUGCAACGCGAAGAACCUUACCAAGGCUUGACAUACACCGGAAUCAUGCAGAGAUGUGUGAGCCCUUGUGGCUGGUGUACAGGUGGUGCAUGGUUGUCGUCAGCUCGUGUCGUGAGAUGUUGGGUUAAGUCCCGCAACGAGCGCAACCCUUGUCUUGUGUUGCCAGCACGUUAUGGUGGGGACUCGCGAGAGACUGCCGGGGUUAACUCGGAGGAAGGUGGGGGAUGACGUCAAAUCAUCAUGCCCCUUAUGUCCAGGGCUUCACACAUGCUACAAUGGUCGGUACAGUGGGUUGCUACACCGCGAGGUGGUGCUAAUCCCUUAAAGCCGGUCUCAGUUCGGAUUGGGGUCUGCAACUCGACCCCAUGAAGUCGGAGUCGCUAGUAAUCGCAGAUCAGCAACGCUGCGGUGAAUACGUUCCCGGGCCUUGUACACACCGCCCGU
Molecule: ribosomal RNA, 896 nt
Filed under: uncultured bacterium
Lineage: Bacteria
Description: bacterial SSU rRNA
Rfam family: Bacterial small subunit ribosomal RNA
Source: RNAcentral